CUUUUCUGCCUACAGAAGUUCCUUCAACAUUUGCUGCUAAGCUGGCGUCUUCCUCAAGGGCUCACACCAGUGAGUACUCCCCCAGAAUGACUGACAGAAGUGUGCACAUCCCCGCCGUGAGCCACACUUGCCCCCUCGACCGCCUCCACAGGAGAGGCUCCAAUACUAGCAGGACUGCCAAGAAAAAUAUACAGACUGUUCUCUGCUCCUGGCUUGGCUUACAACCAAUAUUUAUGAGUUCUGCCAUGUGUCAGGAAGAAAAAGUCACUGGUACAUGGUGAUUCCUGCAUGGACAGGACAAAAAUCACGCACUGGUCUUUACUAGACACUGUUAGAUAACAAUGCUGUCUACUAAACAACGACUCAGUAUGAGCUGCUCUGGUACCACAGAUACCUGAGUGGAUAAAGCUCUGAAUGUGCUCCACC
Molecule: long non-coding RNA, 426 nt
Organism: Dama dama (fallow deer)
Lineage: Eukaryota; Metazoa; Chordata; Mammalia; Artiodactyla; Cervidae
Exons: 3
Source: RefSeq, a predicted model, not a curated record